UACGCAGGUGGCUAGCGUUGUUCGGAAUCACUGGGCGUAAAGGGCGCGUAGGCGGCUUUGUAAGUCGGGGGUGAAAGCCUGUGGCUCAACCACAGAAUUGCCUUCGAUACUGCAUGGCUUGAGACCGGAAGAGGUAAGUGGAACUGCGAGUGUAGAGGUGAAAUUCGUAGAUAUUCGCAAGAACGCCAGUGGCGAAGGCGGCUUACUGGUCCGGUUCUGACGCUGAGGCGCGAAAGCGUGGGGAGCAAACAGG
This 253-nucleotide ribosomal RNA is filed under the name uncultured bacterium. Its description in RNAcentral is "partial 16S ribosomal RNA". It matches the Rfam family "Bacterial small subunit ribosomal RNA", at positions 524 to 776 of the family's 1533-position model. The record is from RNAcentral.